RNAcentral lists this ribosomal RNA (501 nucleotides) under uncultured bacterium. Its description in RNAcentral is "partial 16S ribosomal RNA". It matches the Rfam family "Bacterial small subunit ribosomal RNA", at positions 29 to 523 of the family's 1533-position model. The record is from RNAcentral.
AUUGAACGCUGGCGGCAUGCCUUACACAUGCAAGUCGAACGGCAGCACGGAUGCUUGCACCUGGUGGCGAGUGGCGAACGGGUGAGUAAUACAUCGGAACGUACCUUAUCGUGGGGGAUAACGCAGCGAAAGCUGUGCUAAUACCGCAUACGCCCUGAGGGGGAAAGCGGGGGAUCGCAAGACCCCGCGCGAUUAGAGCGGCCGAUGCCUGAUUAGCUUGUUGGUGGGGUAAAAGCCCACCAAGGCGACGAUCAGUAGCUGGUCUGAGAGGACGAUCAGCCACACUGGGACUGAGACACGGCCCAGACUCCUACGGGAGGCAGCAGUGGGGAAUUUUGGACAAUGGGGGCAACCCUGAUCCAGCAAUGCCGCGUGAGUGAAGAAGGCCUUCGGGUUGUAAAGCUCUUUUGUCAGGGAAGAAACACCGGCUCUAACACAGUCUGGGAAUGACGGUACCUGAAGAAUAAGCACCGGCUAACUACGUGCCAGCAGCCGCGGUAA